AGGAGGAACAACCCCAGUGGCGGUAGCCAGCUCUAGAGCCCUGGAUUCAGCUCCGGCAGUAACUCCGGAGCUCUCCGUCUGCAGGGCCUGGAGGCUCCGGGGCGGG
RNAcentral lists this microRNA precursor (106 nucleotides) under Canis lupus familiaris (dog). Its description in RNAcentral is "mir-8834 microRNA precursor family". It matches the Rfam family "mir-8834 microRNA precursor family". Lineage: Eukaryota; Metazoa; Chordata; Mammalia; Carnivora; Canidae. The record is from Rfam by way of RNAcentral.